UUUUAUACAUCGUUGUGUUAGCUUAUCAUUCAUUAGCUUUAGUAUUCACACUGAGUACUUUUCAAAUAAACACGGUAAUAAUAAUGCUAUUCUUGGUCAAUACAUCACUCAGUGCAAACUUAGACGCCCAGGUCUUACCACAUGAUAUCGCGCGACCACAACGAGGCGGAAUAAGGCAACAAGUUCGAUAAGCUUCGUCUGAACUGAUGAGUGGGAAGAUCAGACGACAUCGUAUGAUUGCUGCGUUAGCGUAUUGCAGAAUAGAGACACGAACGCCAAUUUGUCCUUGAAAACCGAACAUGCGGUGACUGAUAACGACGGUAGAGACUGAACUCAGUAAACAUCGUUGCACAGCGUGCAAGCAGUUGCACUCCAGCUUAUAAGUAAAUGAUUCUUUGGACCGCGGCUCAACAUAUUUAUCUUAUAAAGACAGGCAUUGGGACUUUUCCACUGCCAUUUUUGGAAGUUGAAUUACACCGAAAAAAGCCAUGUGGCUCUCUUGAAUGUAUUCAACAUAUGCGAAAGAUGGCAAAUAACCAAUUCAGUUUUUCGAAAUCGAUGGUAAAGAGCCAAUACGAAACAAUGAAGUGAAUAACCGGUA
This is a long non-coding RNA of Dreissena polymorpha, 601 nucleotides long. RefSeq lists it as uncharacterized. The record is from RefSeq and is a predicted model, not a curated record. Lineage: Eukaryota; Metazoa; Mollusca; Bivalvia; Myida; Dreissenidae. The transcript has 2 exons.